UAUCCGGAUUUACUGGGUGUAAAGGGAGCGUAGACGGUAGACCAAGUCUGAAGUGAAAGCCCGGGGCUCAACCCCGGAACUGCUUUGGAAACUGGUAAACUAGAGUGCAGGAGAGGUAAGUGGAAUUCCUAGUGUAGCGGUGAAAUGCGUAGAUAUUAGGAGGAACACCAGUGGCGAAGGCGGCUUACUGGACUGUAACUGACGUUGAGGCUCGAAAGCGUGGGGAGCAAACAGGAUUAGAUACC
This 245-nucleotide ribosomal RNA is filed under the name uncultured bacterium. RNAcentral describes it as "partial 16S ribosomal RNA". It matches the Rfam family "Bacterial small subunit ribosomal RNA", at positions 542 to 786 of the family's 1533-position model. The record is from RNAcentral.